Long non-coding RNA from Folsomia candida, 849 nucleotides. RefSeq lists it as uncharacterized. The record is from RefSeq and is a predicted model, not a curated record. NCBI's taxonomy places the organism in Eukaryota, Metazoa, Arthropoda, Collembola, Entomobryomorpha, Isotomidae. The transcript has 3 exons.
CUGCAGAAUCUAAUUCAGUAGCUUCACAACGAAAAAGGAAACAAGAAAAAUCACUAUGAAAUUUUCCAAGAUAUUCCUUCCAAUCCUCGCCUUGUUGGUGGCGUCACUCUUCUCAGUCCAGGGAGCGGGUGAGCAAGCAGGAAAAGGCAAAGAGGCCAAGUGGUUUUUCCCCGGAUUUUGGAUUCCUCUUCCAAGUUUGAACCCCUCCACAACCACUGUCGCCCCCACAACCACGCCAACAACCACAACGACAUAAAAGGCUCCAAAAAGGCAGUCAAAUUGUACAUUUAUUAAUCCAAACAAAGAAUCAGGAAUAUAAAACAAAAUUAAUUCGUGUACAAUUAAAAUAUGCAGACAAAGAUGCAUAUAUGUAUUUUGGCUAGCUCAAUUCUGAUCAAUCACACGAUUAAAGCAAAAGCCCAUCGAAAUUUUAUGUGACAUUCAAUACUAAAGGUUAAGGCGUUCCUAUAAGAUCAUUUUGCCACUAUCAUAGUUUCAUAACGGCGGGAUCCCGGCCUUGAAACUGAUAGUUCCACAUAUGUUCAGUAACUCAAUAGCUUUACAAAUUUUCAUACACGGUUAAAUUCGGUUAAAUAAUGGGUCCAAAAAUAAAUCCCAAAGUCAAAUUAACACGUGUAAAAUUGUGUUUUGUAAAAUAUUUUUUUCAAACAAAAUCUGGACUAUUUCGCGUCCACCGAGAAUUUUAGUGUGAACAUUCAUAUCCUUAGUGUCCAUUUGUUAGGUUCCUUUUCACUGAGAUCUUUGAAAUAUAGGGAAUAAAAUUGGUAACCAAUUCAGAAUAUUAUGCUCCAAAUAUUGUGAUAGACAAAUAAACAAUUGUAAUUCGAA